Molecule: unclassified non-coding RNA, 395 nt
Filed under: soil metagenome
Description: partial contains 5.8S ribosomal RNA, internal transcribed spacer 2, and large subunit ribosomal RNA
Rfam family: 5.8S ribosomal RNA (bases 1-122)
Source: RNAcentral
GAUGAAGAACGUAGCGAAAUGCGAUACUUGGUGUGAAUUGCAGAAUCCCGUGAACCAUCGAGUCUUUGAACGCAAGUUGCGCCCGAAGCCAUCAGGUUGCGGGCACGUCUGCCUGGGCGUCACAUAUCGUUGCCCAAUGCCUAUUGCAGUGCAAUAGGAAUUUCUAGGGCGAAUGAUGGCUUCCCGUGAGCGUUGUUGCCUCGCGGUUGGUUGAAAAUCGAGUCCUUGGUAGGGUGUGCCAUGGUAGAUGGUGGUCGAGUUAGAACGAUACCGAUCAUGUGCAUGCUCCCCAAAAUAUGGCCUCUAUGACCCACUCGCGUCUUUUGACGCUCAUGACGAGACCUCAGGUCAGGCGGGGCUACCCGCUGAAUUUAAGCAUAUCAAUAAGCGGAGGA